RNAcentral lists this long non-coding RNA (867 nucleotides) under Panax ginseng (ginseng). RNAcentral's name for it is "long non-coding RNA (PGIN_LNC003661)". Lineage: Eukaryota; Viridiplantae; Streptophyta; Magnoliopsida; Apiales; Araliaceae. The record is from RNAcentral.
UAUCUUAAAAAGUAAAGAAAAAGAAAGAAAAAUUUCUGUUGAAAAGGUCAAUAAACAUGAUUAAUGCAGAUUUCUAUAGUAUCUUCUAACAUUUUCCCCCAAAUUAAAAAGAAAGAAAAAGAAAGAUAGCCAAAAAUCUGUUUUAUAAAAUAUUUGUAUAUGCAAGUAACAGAUAACAUGGAAAGAGACAUGCUAAGUAGCUGAAAUUGUGAUUGAGAAUGAAAGUUCUGCAAUUGUGCAUCCCAGAGUUUUGGUUCUCUCUUAAUCACAUACUUAUAUUCCUGUGCCAGCAAAUGUCAAAUUGAGGUGCCUAUGGCAAAUUAUGCCCUAAUUAAGUAGGUGUCUUAACCGUGGAAAUCAAAUCGUUGCCAUCAAAUCGCUCAAGAGUAAAACAUGAGAAUUUUGUGAAGGUGAGUGUCAUAAAAUUGAAUAAACUUGAAUAACCCGCUUCAUAAAAUUGAAUAAACAAUCACAUAUAGAAUGAAUGAUUAAACCUGGGGAGCCAGCAGAGGAAUCGGGAGGUGAGUCCAUGUUUAGUUUUACUGAUGACGAUACGGAUGUUGUCGAUGGCCAUGACUGACCUCUCCCUCCUCCUGCGGAAGUGCUCCCGCUAUUCAUUUCCCCAAAUUCCAAAGAGAGAAGAGAGAAGAAAAGAUUUGGGUGGGAUAUCAUGUAGGGGUGAGUUUGAUUUGGGAGGGGUAUCGUGUAGGUGUGGGGUGAGUUUGGGCGGGAUUUUUUAGUGUGAGAUGAAAUAUGAGCCUUUAGACUAAGUUGGAAGAAUUGAGAUGAAAUCUGAACCGUUGUUGUGAUUUUCCAAAUGAAAAGAUUUAAAAUGGGUUCUAUUUUAUUAUUAUAGAUUGAUACUCC